UCCAAUGAUGGGAUUAGAUUCAUAAUCUAAUACAUUUACGCUUCCAUUACGUUACUCUGAUUCUUCCUCAUUCUUUGAGGAAUUUAUCCUUUAGUAUUUUCUUAAAUACUUAAGGACUUACUUGACAGUUGCCAUGGUUCUGAUCCUGGGCUUACACUGAUAUCGUCUUGUACCUUUCUAGGUACAACCCAUAUCAAUGUUUUUUCAUACAAUAUGAAAUACAUAAAUCACCUUUCUGCUUACGCAUAAAGGAUUCUAUUUACGCAUUAUUUCUUUGGGAGUCAAAGGGUACGUUCCCUUUGAGAAGAGCUACCUCCUAGUCUCACUAGAAUUGUUCUUCUGAUUAAAGUUUAUCAUCAUAUGAGAAACUUCCUAGCAUCUUUUGUCUAUUAUUAGGGAUUAAUAUAAUCAAAUUAUAUCCUAAAAUCUAUCAAUAUAGAUUUCCAUCCCAUGUAUAUAGACUAUGUCUCCCAUAUACAUUCUAUCUUCAUAUAAUGUUUAAAGUCAUAACUUUAACGAAGAAAUAUUCUUUUCAUUUCCAAAAUUAAUAUAUCAUACAUAUAUUCAUAUAUAUCACAUAUAUAUUUAUAUAUAUAUAUAUAUAUAUACAAAUUUAGGAAUAUGAUUAACUCCCACUAAUCUUUUGUAAAACUAGUAAACAAAAGAUUCAUUUACAUCUUUAUGAGAAAUCAAACGAUUUGACCUUUCUCUCAUAAGACGCUUAUAGCUCCCACUAGCUUGCUAAGAUCCAUGAUGGAUGGAUCUCUACAACUUAUAUGUCUUGUGAUUCAUAGUUUUAGACAUAUAUUAUCAAGACUAUCUUAAUAAUGGUUUCGGAAACCCAUAUUAUGUCCAAACAUUGAAUCACCAUUUAGUUGUAGCUAGCAAUCUUCAAAUUAAUUGAAACUAAGACUACGUCAAAAAUGGUUCCUUCAAAGUCAACCAUUCUAUUUGAUUGUAGUCACCUUAAGCUACCAAUUAGCUUAUGAAGGUUUCAUUAUUUCGGGUCAAAUGGUACUUUACC
This 1024-nucleotide long non-coding RNA is filed under the name Malus domestica (apple). Its description in RNAcentral is "long non-coding RNA (MDOM_LNC018900)". Lineage: Eukaryota; Viridiplantae; Streptophyta; Magnoliopsida; Rosales; Rosaceae. The record is from RNAcentral.